This 83-nucleotide transfer RNA is filed under the name Paenarthrobacter nitroguajacolicus. RNAcentral's name for it is "tRNA-Ala". The record is from RNAcentral. Lineage: Bacteria; Bacillati; Actinomycetota; Actinomycetes; Micrococcales; Micrococcaceae.
AGCAGGACGGCAAGGUUUCGGGUGUUCGCCUCGCCGGCGGCGAGGUGAUUUCCGCCGAUGCCGUUCUGGUCGGCAUCGGGCUC